This 2198-nucleotide long non-coding RNA is filed under the name Callithrix jacchus (white-tufted-ear marmoset). Its description in RNAcentral is "lncRNA (ENSCJAG00000084620.1)". Lineage: Eukaryota; Metazoa; Chordata; Mammalia; Primates; Cebidae. The record is from RNAcentral.
AGGCAAACCGACUAUAGCUUCUUCUCCAGGACAGAAGGUCUAGAAUGUGUAGAGGCGGCGAAGGGGGCGGGCCACUAGGAGGCAGCGGCGGAGAUGACGGUGGUGGUGGUGGCGGCGGCGGCGAUGACGGCGGGGGCGACGGCCAGCUCGGAGGCUGCAGAGGUUAAGGUAGACGCGGCAGAAACUGCCUGCUCCGCUUCUGUGACUUUUUAAAUUGAAUGUGAUCAUUAACUUUUACCCAUGAAUAUAAAAAUGGAGCAGUUUUUCAACUACUCAUGAAAGAUUAUCCAUGAACGCUAAGAUUAUUUAAUUUUUCAUGGAGCGUAGAAUUCUGUGAAUCACUUCAUACAUAGGCUACUUAGUCAAAAGUCAAAUCUGUAAUUUCAUUUUCAAAUUUAAUUCUCUCUGGUUGCUAAAUCUUUACCUAGGUUGUGAGGGAACAUUUCAGAUAAUACAAGAUUCGGUGAAGAAAAAAUAUUAGUAUUUCUUCUGAGAAUUUUUCUUAAUGAAUUGUAAGUUACUGACCUUUCAAAAUAGAGAAAUUUAUGUUAUUUAAAAAUUUUUUUUUGUAAAAUUUUAUUUCUCUUCUUUCUUAAAAAAUACGUAAAAUAGGUUGGGCGUGAUGGCUCACACCUGUAAUCCAGGCACUUUGGGAGGCCAAGGUGGGCAGAUCACGAGGUCAAGAGAUCGAGACCACUCUGGCUAACAUGGUGAAACCCCAUCUUUACUGAAAAUACAAAAAGCCAGCUGUGGUGGCAUGCACCUGUAAUUCCAGCUACUCAGGAGGCUAAGGCAGGAGAAUCACUUCAACUUGGAGGCGGAGGAUCUUGCCACUGCACUCAUGAACUACAGAGGAAAUAAAAACUCCCAUGUGAAGAUGCACUCCCUGCCUAUACUAGAAGAAAAGAAACAUAAUCAAGAGAAUUCUGUACAAGCAGAUCAUGUUAAAAUCAUUCUCAUUUUUGUUUUAUCUCCCACAACAUUUACUUUCCCACAAUUGCCUUUGUUUAGCCUAAUAUAAAAGCAUUUAGAAAAAUAAAACUAAAAAAAAAUUUAAAGCAUUUAGGUUUUGCUACUUCUUUGGGUCCUUAUUUCUUUAUGAGGGUCCUGUGUCACAUAAAACAUAUAAAUUUGUAUGCUUUUCUCCUGUUAAUCUGUUUUAUGUCCAUUUCAUUCUGAAGCCCAACCAAAAAUAUAAAAUGAUAGAGAUAAAAUUUUGCCUCCUCUACAGCUGUUGAAAUUAGAUUUUCUAACCACAUGACUUAGCUUAAAGUGAAUUCUUUCAGUUUCCAUACAAGUGCCUAUUGGUAGGUUAGGUAUUGUGAGAUACUGGCCCAACAAACCAGCCAAACCUACCUGAACAUCUGACCUCCAGAACUGGGGGAUGAUAAAUAAAUGUUUACUAAGCUAAAAAGUUUAUGUUAAUGUAUUAUAUAGCAAUAGAAAAUUAAUACACAUGCUUUCAAAAACUGUAAAUAACUUUGCUUUUGUGAUUAUUAAACUUCUAGUUCAUUCAAGGGGCAAAAGUCAUAUGCCUCAUCAGUUCUAGGAAAUAAGGUGAAUAAGAUUGUUCUCUGAAAUCAAAAUUGUGAAAUAAAGAGAAAGAUGCCCAAUUUGCCUUAAAUCAAAUGUGGAUUAUAAAUUUUCAGACAAAAUGCUACUUUAAUAAAACUAUGAAAUCCUUUUCUCAGAGAAGAAAAAAAGCUUGCACUCAUAGGCAAAACACUUUGUGUGGAAUAUCAAGAUUGAUUAUAAGACACCGCCUCUAACAGGACAACUCUAGUGCCCAUAGAGCAUAAACUAAAAUGGUUUAAUAUAUCACCCUAAUCAGCAAAAAAGUCGAAAUCAUUUUGCGUAAGAAGUGAAUUUCACACACAUUUUGAAGGGUCACAGGCACAAACGAAGACAACGCUCAUGAAGUCACUGCACUGAAGCAUUUCCCUGAGCCCUUUGUAAGUAUCUGGCAAACUUUGCUGUAUUAUCUCCAAAUGUUAGAGCCUGUUGGAUUUUUGUUUUGAAUUGUUUAACUAUGUCUCUUUUAUCUGAGUAUAAACUAAGCUUCUGAUUACUUGUUAUAAUGGGUAGCUUAUUUUAAAGUAAGUAUGAGUUAGUAAGAUUGCCUCACCUAUCUAAUAUCUGGGAAGGGAUACCUCAUAUCAUAUCUUUUAAAUUUUAUUCUAAAUCUUUUUUAGCUUUAC